CUUCAGGCCUUCAAAUAUGUGAAAUCUCUAGAAUUUUAUGAUUUUAUGUCGCUUAUGUUUGCACCUCAACUAAAAUUGUUAGGAGCCUGAGAAGCUUGUCUAGAAGGUGAAUUGCUUCCUAAUUCCCAUUCCAUUUUUUACUCUUUACUCUAUUGAAUUGAUAAACUAAUUUAUUGAUUUUGUCAAUCUAUUCAAUUUAAACGCAUUGGGAUUGUACUUAGGAUUUCAUUCCCUACCGAUCCAAGGAUCUUAAACAGAGAUAUUGCAGUUAUUACUUUGAGGGG
Molecule: unclassified non-coding RNA, 284 nt
Filed under: Hevea brasiliensis (rubber tree)
Lineage: Eukaryota; Viridiplantae; Streptophyta; Magnoliopsida; Malpighiales; Euphorbiaceae
Source: RNAcentral